This 75-nucleotide transfer RNA is filed under the name Bacillus sp. M6-12. RNAcentral describes it as "tRNA-Glu". It matches the Rfam family "tRNA". Rfam says of the family: Transfer RNA (tRNA) molecules are approximately 80 nucleotides in length. Their secondary structure includes four short double-helical elements and three loops (D, anti-codon, and T loops). Lineage: Bacteria; Bacillati; Bacillota; Bacilli; Caryophanales; Bacillaceae. The record is from RNAcentral.
GGGGUAUUGGUCAAGUGGCUAAGACAUCCGACUUUCUAUCGGAUAACGUGGGUUCGAUUCCCACAUACCCUACCA